GACGAACGCUGGCGGCGUGCUUAACACAUGCAAGUCGAACGGAAAGGCCCUGCUUUUGUGGGGUGCUCGAGUGGCGAACGGGUGAGUAACACGUGAGUAACCUGCCCUUGACUUUGGGAUAACUUCAGGAAACUGGGGCUAAUACCGGAUAGGAGCUCCUGCUGCAUGGUGGGGGUUGGAAAGUUUCGGCGGUUGGGGAUGGACUCGCGGCUUAUCAGCUUGUUGGUGGGGUAGCGGCUUACCAAGGCUUUGACGGGUAGCCGGCCUGAGAGGGUGACCGGCCACAUUGGGACUGAGAUACGGCCCAGACUCCUACGGGAGGCAGCAGUGGGGAAUAUUGCACAAUGGGCGGAAGCCUGAUGCAGCAACGCCGCGUGCGGGAUGACGGCCUUCGGGUUGUAAACCGCUUUCGCCUGUGACGAAGCGUGAGUGACGGUAAUGGGUAAAGAAGCACCGGCUAACUACGCG
RNAcentral lists this ribosomal RNA (468 nucleotides) under uncultured bacterium. RNAcentral describes it as "partial 16S ribosomal RNA". It matches the Rfam family "Bacterial small subunit ribosomal RNA", at positions 28 to 507 of the family's 1533-position model. The record is from RNAcentral.